UGGGGAAUAUUGGACAAUGGGCGCAAGCCUGAUCCAGCCAUGCCGCGUGAGUGAUGAAGGCCCUAGGGUUGUAAAGCUCUUUUGUGCGGGAAGAUAAUGACGGUACCGCAAGAAUAAGCCCCGGCUAACUUCGUGCCAGCAGCCGCGGUAAUACGAAGGGGGCUAGCGUUGCUCGGAAUCACUGGGCGUAAAGGGUGCGUAGGCGGGUCUUUAAGUCAGGGGUGAAAUCCUGGAGCUCAACUCCAGAACUGCCUUUGAUACUGAGGAUCUUGAGUUCGGGAGAGGUGAGUGGAACUGCGAGUGUAGAGGUGAAAUUCGUAGAUAUUCGCAAGAACACCAGUGGCGAAGGCGGCUCACUGGCCCGAUACUGACGCUGAGGCACGAAAGCGUGGGGAGCAAACAGGAUUAGAUACCCUGGUAGUCCACGCCGUAAACGAUGAACGCCAGCCGUUGGAGGGUUUACUCUCCAGUGGCGCAGCUAACGCUUUAAGCAUUCCGCCUGGGGAGUACGGUCGCAAGAUUA
This 523-nucleotide ribosomal RNA is filed under the name uncultured bacterium. RNAcentral's name for it is "bacterial SSU rRNA". It matches the Rfam family "Bacterial small subunit ribosomal RNA", at positions 355 to 896 of the family's 1533-position model. The record is from RNAcentral.